GGGCCGCUAGCUCAACUGGCAGAGCAGCGGACUUUUAAUCCGUUGGUUCAGGGUUCGAGCCCCUGGCGGCCCACCA
Molecule: transfer RNA, 76 nt
Filed under: Saccharothrix longispora
Lineage: Bacteria; Bacillati; Actinomycetota; Actinomycetes; Pseudonocardiales; Pseudonocardiaceae
Also listed under: 1 other name
Description: tRNA-Lys
Rfam family: tRNA
About the family: Transfer RNA (tRNA) molecules are approximately 80 nucleotides in length. Their secondary structure includes four short double-helical elements and three loops (D, anti-codon, and T loops).
Source: RNAcentral